CUGUGAUGAAUGUGGCUGCAUAAUCAUCCUGUUCAAGAGGUUUUAUGUAUACAUUUACAGAAUUACAAUCAUGGGAAUAUUGGAGCCAGAAUAAUAGGAUCAAAAAUUGGGGAAGCAAAUAAGAAAAAAAUUCUGUUCUUGUGAAAGACUUAAUGAGGGAAAAAGCAGAGGAUGGAAAGCCCUAAUCUGACCUUCAAACAAAAAAGUCCUUUGAAAAUAAUGAAGCCAUCUGACUGGUAAUCAAGAAGAGCUAUCAGAGAAGUCAUAGUUUCUUCAGAAACAAACAAUAGAAGAAAAAAGUUAAUUUGAUGAAAUUCAAGCAAUCUGGCUCCUUGACUUGACGAAGAGUUUAAAGGCUGGAUGUGAAUGAGUAUAAUUGCUUCCCACUGUAACUCCC
Long non-coding RNA from Lontra canadensis (Northern American river otter), 397 nucleotides. RefSeq lists it as uncharacterized. NCBI's taxonomy places the organism in Eukaryota, Metazoa, Chordata, Mammalia, Carnivora, Mustelidae. The record is from RefSeq and is a predicted model, not a curated record. The transcript has 3 exons.